UGGUGAUAAUGAUGAUGAUGAUAAUGAUGAUAAUGAUGAUUGGGGUUGUAUGGCACUCAUCGUCAUCAUUAUCAUCAACAACAACU
This 86-nucleotide microRNA precursor is filed under the name Bigelowiella natans CCMP2755. Its description in RNAcentral is "miRNA EPrBNAG00000013367". The record is from RNAcentral. Lineage: Eukaryota; Cercozoa; Chlorarachniophyceae.